AAACUGCUUCGUGAUGUGUCCAUUCAGUUAACAAAGUUAAACCUUUCUUUCAUUUCAGCUGGUUGGAAAUACCCUUUUUGAAGAAUCUGCAAAGGGGCAUUUCAGAGUCCACUGAGACCCAUAGUGAAAAAUAAAACAUCCAGUGACAAAAACGACUUGUUGGAAACACUCUUUUUGAAGAAUCUGUGGAGGGACGUUUCAGAACUCACUGAGGCCCACAGUGAAAAAACAAAUAUCCUGUGAUAAAAACGACUGGUUGGAGACACUCUUUUUGAAGAAUUUGUGAAGAGACAUUUUGAAGUCCACUGAGACCCAUAGUGUAAAAUCAAAUAUCCCAUGAUAAAAAUGAGUAAGAAGAUAUAUGUGAAACUGCUUUGUGUUGUGUGCAUUCAGUUCAAGGAGGUAAACUUUUCUUUUGAAUCAGCAGGUUGGAAACACUUUUUUUGUACAAUCUGGGAAGGGACAUUUUGGAGCCCACUUAUUAGUGAAAAACCGAAUAUCUAACAAUAAAAACUAGAAGAAAAUGAUGAGCAAUACUGCCUUGUGAGGUGUGGAUUACCUUAAAGAGUAAAACCUUCCCUUUGAUUCAGUAGGUUGGAAACAAUGUUUUUGUAGAAACUGCACAGGGACAUGUUGGAGCCCACUGAGGCCUAUAGUGAAAAACCAAAUAUUCAGCAAUAAAAACAUGAAAGAAGCUACCUGUGAAACUGAUUUGUGAUGCGUGGAUUCAGCUCACAGAAUUAAACUUCUUUUGAUUCAGCAGGUUGGAAACCCUCUUUUGUAGAAACUGAGAAGAGUCGUUUCGGAGCACAUGAAGGCUUACAGUGAAAAAUCGAAUAUCCCAUGAUAAAAACUAGAAAUAAUCUAUCUGGGAAACUGCUUUGUGAUGUGCUUCAGUUCACAGAGGAAAACAUUUCUUUUGAUUCAGCAGGCUGGAAACUCUUUUUUGUAGAAUCUACAAUGGGACAUAUAGCAACCCAAUGAGACCUCUCUUGGAGAACAGAAUAUCCUGUGAUAAAAACUAGAAAGAAGCUAUAUAUGAAACUGCUUUGUGAUGUGUGGAUAUGGUUCACAGAGGUAAACCUUCCUUUUCAUUCAGCAGUUCAGAAAAACUCCUUUUGUAGAAUCUGCAAAGGGACAUUUCAGAGUCCACUGAGGUCUAUAGUGAAUUACCAAAUGUCCCGUGAUAAAAAAAUAUAAGGGAGUUAUCUGUGAAACUGCUUUGUGAUGUGUGGAUUCAGUUAUCAGAGUUAAGCCUUUUUCUUUCUUUUUUUAUUUACUUUUAUUAUUAUUAUUAUACUUUAAGUUUUAUGGUACAUGUGCACAAUGUGCAGGUUAGUUACAUAUGUAUACAUGUGCAAUGCUGGUGUGCUGCACCCAUUAACUCGUCAUUUAGCAUUACGUAUAUCUCCUAAUGCUAUCCCUCUCCCCUCUCCCCACCCCACAACAGUCCCCAGAGUGUGAUGUUCCCCUUCCUGUGUGUAUGUGUUCUCAUUGUUCAGUUCCCACCUAUGAAUGAGAACAUGUGGUGCUUGUUUUUCUGUCCUUGCGAUAGUUUACUGAGAAUGAUGAUUUCCAAUUUCAUCCAUGUCCCUACAAAGGACAUGAACUCAUCAUUUUUUAUGGCUGCAUUGUACUCCAUGGUGUACAUGUGCCACAUUUUCUUAAUCCAGUCUAUCAUUGUUGGACAUUUGGGUUGGUUCCAAGUCUUUGUUAUUGUGAAUAGUGCCACAGUAAACAUAAUUGUGCAUGUGUCUUUAUAGCAGCAUGAUUUAUAGUCCUUUGGGUUUAUACCCAGUAAUGGGAUGGCUGGGUCAAAUGGUAUUUCCAGUUCUAGAUCCCUGAGGAAUCGCCACACUAACUUCCACAAUGGUUGAACUAGUUUACAGUCCCACCAACAGUGUAAAAGUGUUCCUAUUUCUCCACAUCCUCUCUAGCACCUGUUGUUUCCUGACUUUUGAAUGACCACCAUUCUAACUGGUGUGAGAUGAUAUCUCAUUGUGGUUUAGAUUUGCAUUCCUCUGAUGGCCAGUGAUGAUGAGCAUUUUUUCAUGUGUUUUUUGGCUGCAUAAAUGUCUUCUUUUGAGAAGUAUCUGUUCAUAUACUUCACCUAUUUUUUGAUGGGGUUGUUAGUUUUUUUCUUGUAAAUUUGUUUGAGUUCAUUGUAGAUUCUGGAUAUUGGCCCUCUGUCAGAUGAAUAGGUUGCAAAAAUUUUCUCCCAUUUUGUAGGUUGCAUGUUCACUCUGAUGAUAGUUUCUUUUGCUGUGCAGAAGCUCUUUAGUUUAAUCAGAUCCCAUUUGUCAAUUUUGGCUUUUGUUGCCAUUGCUUUUGGUGUUUUAGACAUGAAGUCCUUGCCCAUGCCUAUGUCCUGAAUGGUAAUGCCUAGGUUUUAAGUAACUUCAGCAAAGUCUCAGGAUACAAAAUCAAUGUGCAGAAAUUACAAACAGUCUUAUACACCAAUAACAGACAAACAGAGAGCCAAAUCAUGAGUGAACUCCCAUUCACAGUUACUUCAAAGAGAAUAAAAUACC
This 2531-nucleotide long non-coding RNA is filed under the name Homo sapiens (human). RNAcentral describes it as "HSALNT0136274". Lineage: Eukaryota; Metazoa; Chordata; Mammalia; Primates; Hominidae. The record is from RNAcentral.